UUGGAGGGCAAGUCUGGUGCCAGCAGCCGCGGUAAUUCCAGCUCCAAUAGCGUAUAUUAAAGUUGUUGCGGUUAAAAAGCUCGUAGUUGAAUUUCGGGGUUAGUAGAUUGGUCAUGCCAUCGGUAUGCACUGGUCUCACUGAUUCCUCCUUCCUGAUGAGCCGUAAUGCCAUUAAUUUGGUGUUGCGGGGAAUUUGGACUGUUACUUUGAAAAAAUUAGAGUGUUUAAAGCAAGCUAAUGCUUGAAUACAUUAGCAUGGAAUAAUGAAAUAGGACGCUCGAUCCUGUUUUGUUGGUUUCUAGGAUUGACGUAAUGAUUAAUAGGGAUAGUUGGGGGCACUAGUAUUCAAUUGUCAGAGGUGAAAUUCUUGGAUUCAUUGAAGACUAACUACUGCGAAAGCAUUUGCCAAGGAUGUUUUCAUUAAUCAAGAACGAAAGUUAGGGGAUCGAAGGCGAUCAGAUACCGUCGUAGUCUUAACCAUAAACUAUGCCGACUAGGGAUCGGAUGAUGUUAAUUUUUUAAUGACUCAUUCGGCGCCUUACGGAAACCAAAGUGUUUGGGUUC
RNAcentral lists this ribosomal RNA (564 nucleotides) under uncultured Glomeromycotina. RNAcentral describes it as "SSU rRNA". It matches the Rfam family "Eukaryotic small subunit ribosomal RNA", at positions 548 to 1114 of the family's 1831-position model. The record is from RNAcentral. Lineage: Eukaryota; Fungi; Glomeromycota.